CACGUAGGGGGCAAGCGUUGUCCGGAUUUAUUGGGCGUAAAGAGCGUGUAGGCGGUUUUACAGGUCAGCUGUGAAAACUCGAGGCUCAACCUCGAGCUGUCGGUGGAAACCGUAAGGCUAGAGUCCGGAAGAGGAGAGUGGAAUUCCUGGUGUAGCGGUGAAAUGCGCAGAUAUCAGGAAGAACACCCGUGGCGAAGGCGGCUCUCUGGGACGGUACUGACGCUGAGACGCGAAAGCGUGGGGAGCGAACAGG
This 253-nucleotide ribosomal RNA is filed under the name uncultured bacterium. Its description in RNAcentral is "partial 16S ribosomal RNA". It matches the Rfam family "Bacterial small subunit ribosomal RNA", at positions 524 to 776 of the family's 1533-position model. The record is from RNAcentral.